RNAcentral lists this non-coding RNA (27 nucleotides) under Cricetulus griseus (Chinese hamster). Lineage: Eukaryota; Metazoa; Chordata; Mammalia; Rodentia; Cricetidae. The record is from RNAcentral.
GGGACUCCACAGCUUCUGGCAGGCAGG